RNAcentral lists this transfer RNA (72 nucleotides) under Pangasius djambal. RNAcentral's name for it is "tRNA-Glu". Lineage: Eukaryota; Metazoa; Chordata; Actinopteri; Siluriformes; Pangasiidae. The record is from RNAcentral.
UCCCUGGAGGACUAGUGUUUAGGCCUCGGUGCUCUCACCACCACGGCCCAGGUUCGAUUCCCUGCCAGGGAA